RNAcentral lists this ribosomal RNA (503 nucleotides) under uncultured bacterium. Its description in RNAcentral is "partial 16S ribosomal RNA". It matches the Rfam family "Bacterial small subunit ribosomal RNA", at positions 30 to 523 of the family's 1533-position model. The record is from RNAcentral.
AUUGAACGCUGGCGGCAGGCUUAACACAUGCAAGUCGAGCGGGGUGAUGGUGCUUGCACUAUCACUUAGCGGCGGACGGGUGAGUAAUGCUUAGGAAUCUGCCUAUUAGUGGGGGUCAACAUCUCGAAAGGGAUGCUAAUACCGCAUACGUCCUACGGGAGAAAGCAGGGGAUCACUUGUGACCUUGCGCUAAUAGAUGAGCCUAAGUCGGAUUAGCUAGUUGGUGGGGUAAAGGCCUACCAAGGCGACGAUCUGUAGCGGGUCUGAGAGGAUGAUCCGCCACACUGGGACUGAGACACGGCCCAGACUCCUACGGGAGGCAGCAAUGGGGAAUAUUGGACAAUGGGGGGAACCCUGAUCCAGCCAUGCCGCGUGUGUGAAGAAGGCCUUAUGGUUGUAAAGCACUUUAAGCGAGGAGGAGGCUCUUUUGGUUAAUACCCAAGAUGAGUGGACGUUACUCGCAGAAUAAGCACCGGCUAACUCUGUGCCAGCCGCCGCAGUAA